GACGAACGCUGGCGGCGUGCUUAACACAUGCAAGUCGAACGGAAAGGCCCUGCUUUUGUGGGGUGCUCGAUUGGCGAACGGGUGAGUAACACGUGAGUAACCUGCCCUUGACUUUGUGAUAACUUCAGGAAACUGGGGCUAAUACCGGGUAGGAGCUCCUGCUGCAUGUGGUGGGUUGGUAAGUUUCGGCGGUUGUGGAUGGACUCGCGGGUUAUCAGCUUGUUGGUGGGGUAGUGGCUUACCAAGGCUUUGACGGGUAGCCGGCCUGGGAGGGUGACCGGCCACCUUGGGACUGAGAUAGGGCGCAGACUCCUACGGGCGGCAGCAGUGGGGAAUAUUGCACAAUGGGCGGAAGCCUGAUGCAGCAACGCCGCGUGCGGGAUGACGGCCUUCGGGUUGUAAACCGCUUUCGCCUGUGACGAAGCGUGCGUGACGGUAAUGGGUAAAGAAGCAACGGCUAACUACGUG
This 468-nucleotide ribosomal RNA is filed under the name uncultured bacterium. RNAcentral describes it as "partial 16S ribosomal RNA". It matches the Rfam family "Bacterial small subunit ribosomal RNA", at positions 28 to 507 of the family's 1533-position model. The record is from RNAcentral.